AUACGGAAGGUCCGGGCGUUAUCCGGAUUUAUUGGGUUUAAAGGGAGCGCAGGCGGAGAUGCAAGCGUGACGUCAAAUUUCGGGGCUCAACCCCGUCUCGCGUCGCGAACUGUGUCCCUUGGUUGCGGGAAGGGGAGGCGGAACUCGUGGUGUAGCGGUGAAAUGCAUAGAUAUCACGAAGAACUCCGAUCGCGAAGGCAGCCUUCCGGCCCGUCAACGACGCGCAUGCUCGAAGGUGCGGGUAUCAAACAGGAUUAGAUACCCUGGUAGUCCGCACAGUAAACGAUGGACACCCGCGGUUUGGCCUGUAUGGCUGAGCCGCCAAGCGAAAGCGUUAAGUGUCCCACCUGGGGAGUACGCCGGCAACGGUGAAACUCAAAUGAAUUGACGGGG
RNAcentral lists this ribosomal RNA (393 nucleotides) under uncultured bacterium. RNAcentral describes it as "partial 16S ribosomal RNA". It matches the Rfam family "Bacterial small subunit ribosomal RNA", at positions 523 to 918 of the family's 1533-position model. The record is from RNAcentral.